This 29979-nucleotide long non-coding RNA is filed under the name Panax ginseng (ginseng). RNAcentral describes it as "long non-coding RNA (PGIN_LNC006842)". The record is from RNAcentral. Lineage: Eukaryota; Viridiplantae; Streptophyta; Magnoliopsida; Apiales; Araliaceae.
AAUACUUAUAUUCUUUCAGCUUAUAUAUAUAAUUGCUAUUACUUGCUGGGCACUCAAAUGCUCAUCCUUGCUUAAAUUAAAUGUUUUCAGUUAUGUAUAAGCAACCUGAAGGCUCAGGCACGAACAAGGGGAAAGAAAAGCUGUUUGAAUGAGUUUAUAUUAUGAGUUAAUGGUUAUAGUUAUAUUGGUAUCUAUUCAAGUAUUGUAAGGAAUGUAUUUGAAGGUCUCGUACCUAGGAAGUAAACUUUGAUGUAUGUAAAUUAAGUUUGAAUGUAAUAUUACUAUUGUAUUAUUCAGCUUAUAGAAAUGGUAUCGUGAAGCACCGAGUUCGGGUUUCAAGUACUCGGAUUUGGGGGCGUCACAGUUGCGCUGUCCCUUGGCUAGACUUGGGUUGAGCUUUCACUUCCUGUUUCUGUCCAACUCUAACACCUAUUCACUUAUACUUUAACAGAUAUACAUGUUAGAGGUUCUUACAUAAGCAUAUGACCAUUCUUGAGUUCAUUUUUAUAAGUCUUAGUUCAUGACUUUCCAUGAAAUUAAAGCAUAAAACGUUAUAUAUUUAUCAUGCUUUAUAACUUUGGUCAUAUUUUUACAUAUAGAGGUCUCAUAAUCUGUUAAUACAAAUGAUCAUGAUUUUCAUAUCAUUCAUUCAUAACUAGCAUUGUUUAACACUUGGAAAUAUGCUUUAACUCAUGUUUGAUUAAAUCAUCUUUAUGUCCAUUGCUUACAAAUCAUGUUUAGAGACAUAAUAAAACGUAACAUGGCAUCUCAAGCCUUUAGAAUCUAAAUACUCAUACGUAAUGCAACUUAAGUUUGAAAACAUGCUCGAGGUUGCCUUUGAAAUCCUUUUACAUGAAUGAUGCAAUAUAGCGCAUGUAAAUAACCUUUGAAACUCUUACCAUAAGUAACUAAGUCAUGUUAACAUCUUUUCAAGUUCAGAAACUAUAUCAUAUAGCAUUCAUGUUCAUUAGCUUAUUAUACUAAGCUUUUCUUGAAAUUUCUCUAAUCACAAGGUCUAAUAGUUUAAUCAAGAACAAAGACAUUAUAAACACCAUAUCAUGCUCAUUUAUAUUUGAACUCAAUCAUGUUAAUAAAACACUAAGUUCAAAACUUAUAGAACAUAAGUUUCCACAAAGGUUUGUUUUCAAAAUCUUUAAGUUUCAUUUCAAAUCACAUACUAAGUCAUGCCAAUGCUUUCUAUUAUUAGCAAGGAAAUCUUAUAUGGCAUGUAUAAUAUCAUGUAUUUUUAAUACCAUCGUUGGGAGCACUAUACUUACGUAUGUGCUCGCUUGACGCACUCCGAUCGCCUCUAAAUACGUAAUAGUCACAAAGAUGAGUAUUCUGACCCUUCCUAACGACCUCAAAUUGAAACACUUAAAGCACAAAAGUUGUAGGUCUAUUCGUCCUCGUUCUGGAUUAUCUUGAAUCACCUCAAACGGAGUUCGUAUGAAAGCGUUAUGCUUAAUUUACUACAACAAGUCAUAGUAGGGCACCAGACACUGAUGUCCGACGCAGUUGUGCCCUAAAUAACCUUGGGGACAGCGCAGCUGCGCCCCAGGUCGCAGAACAGCCCCUCAGGCUCUGCUCACGAUUUCACAGACCAAAACUCAUUCCAAUCAUUAUAAUAUGAGUUAUACUCAUUCAAUUUAGUCCAUUUUCGAUUCUAUGAGUUUGUAACUCAUAAAACUACUACAUACCAAAUACCCAUCAACUAACAUAAACAUUAACUAACCCAAAUAUUAAUUUACAACUCGUAUUCAUACUAAUUUUUCAUGUUUUUACAAUUUAGCGAAUUCGCUCGCUACGAAUUCGCUAAAUUGUAAAAACAUGAAAAAUUAGUAUGAAUACGAGUUGUAAAUUAAUAUUUGGAAUUCGUUUCUCAACCAUUUUGAUUCAUUCAACUUUCGUUGUUUUCAUUUCUUAAUAUACUAACACAAUAUAUAACCAAUUAACAGAUUAUAGCAAAGAUUGAACAUCAAAUUUUGGACUUACUAAGCAAUUUUCAUAUACAAAACACUGCUAUCUUAAUUUUCUUCUACAAACCACUUUUCCAUGAAUUUGAUUACUCAAUACAAUUUCUAUAUAACAAUUAUCAUAUUACACAUGUACAUAAUCAACACCUCAAACCCUAACCCAACAAAAAAAAUAUAGAUAAAAACUAAAACUUGAAAAUAGAAGAAACGAUUAUACCUUGAAUCUCAUACUAGCAAAAUGAUGUUAACAAAGUUUAGAAAUUCUUCCUUUCAUUCCCUCUAAAAGUUCUCUGUGUUUCUCCCUUUCAUUGUUCUUAGCUUAUUAGGAGAAUACGUGAUAUAACCCAUGUACGUCAGGUGAAGAAAAUGAAAAGACGUCAGUUACAAUAAACCAAAAGCCAUAAGGCUGCAUUUGGUUACACACAAUUUCCCACAUACUAGAUUAUUUUAAUAAUAUUAUAUUAUUUAGUUUUUAUUUGUCACACAUGUAACCAAUUUACAUAACUUACAAUAAUAAUUAUAAUAAUUAUAAUUUUUUAUUAUAAUUCUUCUGAUGAUUAAUAAAUAAUCAUAUAUCCAAUUUAAUAAAUAAAUUAGAUUUAAACAUCGCUUUAUUUAAUUUAUUAUUUUCUUUAACAUUAAACAACUCAUUUAAUUUAAUUAAUUAAAUUAAAUCUUCAAAGAAUAAAAUUUACAUUUGCUUUAAUUUAAUUAUCAUACACACGUAACUAAAUUAUUAUACCACAAUUUCAUAAAUUAUUUAUUUUUCUCAAUAAAUAAAUUAUUUAAAAUAUUUAUUUAACUCAAUAAAUAUUUAAAAUUAAUUACCAAAUUCAUUUAAUUUCUUCAAUAGUUAACUUAAUUAUUGAACCUCACUUUCCCAAUAUAUGAACAUAUAUUUCUCUUCACACCAGAUCACAUAUUUAAAAAUAUAUAGCAUGUAUAUAUACAUACUCAAACUCAAAACAUCUCGUAAUAAGAAUUUUAAUUAUUAAAUUUCUAUUUUAAUAACUUAUAAAAUUUGGGGUUGUCACAUCCUUCCUCCCUUAUAAGGAUUUCAUCCUCGGAAUAAACGAAACCUCCCUUACUCGGUUUUCACCAAAUCUCUUUUCAAAAUUUAUCGUUGAAUAUCUUCAACACAUUACCUUAAUAUAGGUUUUAUAUUUUCUACUCCCACCAUUCUUCAUAAUAAAUUCUUGUAAGUUUUAUUUCAUAACUUUCACUUGAACUCAAUUAUAUUUUGAGUAUUAUAUAUUCUUUAACCCAUUCAUUUCCUUUUUCUAAGGAUCAUUAUCAUAAACACUCGGGAUAUUACAUUCACCCAUUCUUCUAAGAAUUUUGUCCUCAAAAUUUUAUUUAUUAAUCUUUAUUCAUUCAAUCUAUCAAAAUAGAUUUUACGUUUAUUCAGUCAUUAGAUUCUAUAACCACUUUCUUUCCACAAAAAUCUUUCUACAAUUAUUAAACUUUUCUAUUAAAAGUUUUACAUUAUUCUUUGAUAACUCAUCUCCUCCUCAUUUCAAAAUUUCUUUUCUCACUUAUUCAAUAUAUUCAUCAUUCAGUGUCACAUUCUACAACUCACUUUGUUUUAAGGAAUAUCAUCCUUACCACAUUCGCCUUUUAGAAUAGAAAGAAUCUUCCGCAAUUGCUCAAUAAUUUGGAAGUAGUAUGAAUAACUCAGGAAUUCAAAAGAUUCCAAAUCAUGCUGAGUGGUCACAAGACCUUUAACUACGUCCACGGUUAUAAGUACUCUUUCAACUUAAACCUUAAUAAUCAUUAGACUGUAAGGACUCCCGUACUUAGGGUGUGAAGCCCUUCGUACGAUGUAUUGUGCACUCUAUCCACUAUUAUAAGUACUCUUUCAACUUAAACCUUAACAGUCAUUAGAUAGUAGGGACUUCACGUACUUAGGGGGAUCAACCCUUCAUACCAUGUACUGUGCAGAAACAUCUAAACGCUUUCAUGUACUACCCUAUAAAAGGUUAUUUAUAUAACCUUUUCAACAUCUGAAUCUACACCAAAGCAAUUUGGUUCGGCAUAACUUCUCAAGAAACGCUUGAAUUUCAUGAACAUCUUUUAAUAAUCGUCUAGCUGAAUCAAAUAGCAUAGACUUCUUCAACAAUUCGGACAUCAAUCGAAAUAUAUAUAUACAUACAUACAUAUAUAUAUAUAUAUACAUAUAUAUAUAUAUAUAUAUAUAUAUAUUCUCUAAUCAUAAAGAAAUCUCAAAAAUCCUUUUAUGGCAUCAUGAUUAUGACGUUGUCAUACUACAUCUCACCAUAGUGGACUGACGAUCAUAUGAUCACAUCCAACAGCAGGUUCCAUUGUAUUGAUGACUCUAUCAUUUAUCACAUCACCCGAUACAUAUAGUUAAAAUAUAUUUUGAAAUUUUUUUUAAAAAUCACUUUUUUUUAUCUAGCCGAAACAAACAACAUAGAUACGUGAAUAAUAACAAUGUUUUAAAAAUUCUUUGGUUCACUAGUGUGACCCAACAUUUUUUUUUCAAAAAAUCAAAAUUAUAACCAUCGACACGAAGUCAAUAAAUUUCAAAAAUCUAGCAAAGCUAAAAGAUUUGGAAUAUCUAAUUUUCUCCAUCAAUUUCAAUCUUUACACUAAAUAUUCUUGUAUUUCAACUUAUAAUCCUCCUAUAUCCCCAGUAUAGUUCGUCAAACUUACUGCACAUUGGAAGUUCAGGAACUUGCCACAAUAAUAUGAGUUUAAGAACUUAUCCUAGUCAGACCAUAGGCGUCCAUUAGCUUGGGGGUUCAAAACAUACCAUAUUAUUAUGAGUCAUGAACAUACCAUAUGCAUUAGUUUUAAGAACCGUACCUAAUCCUAAUAAUAUAUGACUAAUCUUAAUAGUUUCUAACUAUCAAACAUACACAUGAGAAAAAAAAUCACCUUUUCGCCACAUAUACAUUGAUAGCGCGACACCAACAUUCUAAUGAUUAUCAAUGUGAUAAACUGAGUGCAUGCACAAAAUCUUCGCCCAUACAAAGGUUUGUAUAACUCAGCCAUCACAUGAGUCCUCAAAUGAAAUCCCACCUAACUCUAUCUUACUCUUAAAUUUUUCUUUGCUCGAUACGAAUUCCUCGUAUCACAUUAUCUAUAACUCCUCGUGAGUUUAUCUCGUACUAUAUCAUAGUACAUUAUCUUCAUAGCAUCAAGCUAUAAUUAUUCAAACAUUACAAACCAUCUUUCUUUUAUAACUUAAAUUAAUCACGUCGUGAUCUUAUUCUAUAAUCAUCUCCCUUAAAAUUCUUUUCUUAACUCAUGAUCGUUUUGUUUUACGAUCCUCUUUCUUUCCUUUUUCAUCAUACGUAUCCAUUUUCUAUACUUGGUACACAUCGAGUCUCUAAUAGUUUCAAUAUGGUACGUUGAGUGGUUUCCCACAAACAACCAACAAACUAGGUUCCUGAGUUACUAGUUCGUAUAUACCUCCGCUCUAUGAAGUAAUCGUUUAGCCCACAUACCAUACAUCAAAUAUUAAAGAGUACAAUUGUACUAUUACUUAAAUAUAACUUUUUGAUUCAUAACUUCUUUAUCAUCUUCUCCUUUAUUCUCUAAGGUUAUAGCCUAGGGUACUUUUACCUAAGAUUUAUAACCUACAACUCUAAUACCAACUGUAACGACCCCAAAAUUCAUACAAUUUAAUUCCCAACUUUGGUCGAUAAUAACACAUCUACCUUUGAUCUUACAUCAUUAUUCGAUGUUAAACUUUAUAAAAUGCGGAAUAAUUUAAACUUUUAUGUCUUCUUACUUUAAUUCCCUGAAUCAAAACCUUUAUCAUCUACAUAUCUUUGAAUCAAUCUUAUUUUAUGAUUCGCUUUAUCACUGUUAUUAUAUAAAAUUUUACAUUUCAAUCUGAAAACCUUUACAUAUCAGAUAACUCGAACUUUAGCUUUACAACUCAACAUAAAAUUAUACAUCAUAAAAAAUUUAGUACAUCUCAUGAAUCUUAAUCAUGGUAUAAAGAAAUAACAACUUUAGCUAAAAUAUAAAUCUUCGUGUAUUAUUUCUGAUCCACGUCAUUCAAGUAGCACAUAGUGUUACCUUCAAUCCUUAACCUGCAAAAAUGGUUAUUUGCAAGGUUGAGCUCGAUAGCCCAACAAGAUCUAAUAGUUUUUAGGCAUCACAUAACACAUAAUAACAUGCUCAACAUAUAACAUACAUGUUGUAGUUCAUAUACCAAGUAUAAAGAUUGAGUUCCUUACUCAAUCAUCAUGUUUUAAUUAAUCAAAGUAGUCAUAAAUUGACUUUAUAAUUUCAUGCUUUCAACAUAUAAAUAACACAUCAUGCUCUUUGCAAUAAAUAUUUAAAAUAGUUAAUCAUCAAGUUCACAUAGCAAAUAGGAAUUGAAAGACUUGCCUGAUUCGUAGUUUAUGAACUACGACUUAACUGCUUAACGCGUAUCUGCACUUCGUGUAUUCCUACACAGUUAUAUAAUCAUGUAUUCACAUCCAUUAGUCAUAUAUUUCAUACAUUCUUAAUAUAAUAACAAUGUUACAUUAUUUCCUAACUAGGUUUGUAAAACCUACAUUUCACUUUCUCAUCACAGUCUUAGAAUAGCUAGGUAUAUAUAGUUAUACCUUAACCACUCGUACUUUACAUCAACAUUCAUAUAUAUUUAUUACACACUUGACUUGCUAUGUGUUCAUUACACAUUUCAAACUCAUAGAUGCAUGAUUCACAAAGUUCUUGCAUUUUUUAAAAUUUAACAACUCUGUGUUUUAUAUAACCAUUACAUGCUCUUAUGCUUAAAACAUCAUCUAUGUCAAGUAUUAUAGCUUUAAACAUUCAUAUCUAUAUGCUUUAAGGUCUGGAUUCACAGUUAAAAUAAUAAGGCAUCAUUGCCCUGUGUCGCAGCUGCGCCCUAGUUAGGCUUAGGGACGGCGCAGCUGCGCUGUCCCCUGGCCAGACCAGGGUUGAGCUUGUACUUCCUAUUUCUGUCCAACUCUAACACACCUAUUCACUUAUACUUUAACAUACAUACAUGUUAGAGGUUCUUACAUGAGCAUAUGACCAUUCUUAAGUUCAUUUUUAUAAGUCUUAGUUCAUGACUUUCCAUGAAAUUAAAGCAUAAAAGGUUAUGUAUUUAUCAUGCUUUAUAACUUUGGUCAUAUUUCUACAUACUGAGGUCUCACAAUCUGUUAAUACAUAUGAUCAUGAUGUUCAUAUCAUUCAUUCAUAACUAGAAUUGUUUAACACUUUGAAAUAUGCUUUAACUCAUGUUUGAUUAAAUCAUCUUUAUGUCCAUUACCUACGAAUCAUGUUUAGAGACAUAAUAAAAUGUAACAUGGCAUCUCAAGCCUUUAGAAUCUAAAUACCCAUAUGUAAUGCAACUUAAGUUUGAAAACAUGCUCGAGGUUUCCUUUAAAAUCCUUUUACAUGAAUGAUGCAAUAUAGCGGAUGUAAAUCAGCUUUGAAACUCUUACCAUAAGUAACUAAGUCAUGUUAACAUCUUUUCAAGUUCAAAAACUAUAUCCUAUAGCAUUCAUGUUCAUUAGCUUAUUAUACUAAGCUUUUCUUAAAAUUUCUUUAAUCACAAGGUCUAAAAAGUUUAAUCAUGAACAAAGACACUAUAAACACCAUAUCAUGCUCAUUUAUAUUUGUACUCAAUCAUGUUAAUACACCACUAAGUUUAAAACUUAUAGAACAUAAGUUUCCACAAGGUUUGUUUUCAAAAUCUUUAAGUUUCUUUUCAAAACACAUACUAAGUGUGAUGCCCCCAAAUCCGGGUAUCUUCCAACCCGACAGAUGGUUCUACACGGUACUCAUAACUGUACAUUUAUUCUAUUGAAACGACAUCAAAAUGGGUGUAUCAACGACAUUCUUAUUACAUUAAUAAUAUUACAUCCUGUUCUCAGGUUCUAAAACCAGUACAUUCUUUGUUCAUUAUUCUAUAAUAUAUACAACUUACUAGUUUAUUACAAGCUAAACUAAUAGUUCAGCUUCUUCUUGCCUCUAUCCUUGUCAGAUCCCUCGGUUCGUUCGGUCCUCGCUGCAUAACAAGCUCAGCAAGUACAACAAUUUCUUUUAAACAACAUGCUUGAAACAUAGGAAUCAUAUAUCCUCAAUAACUGGAUAAUAGUUAUCAAUAAUUCAAAAUAGCAUUUCUUUUCCUUUAAAAUGUUUUACAAUAACAAUAUUCAGUAAAACAUCAACUCUGGCUCAAGACCAUGAGCAUUUCAUAUUUUCUUUGAAAAGGACAACCCGACACUAAGUCCGUAAGUCCAGCAUAUCUUACGAGCACUUCUGGGUGAUCAGCCCAUAGUACUCUAUGUUGAUCAACACUACAUCCUGUUAAACGUACGUUUAAAUUUUGGCAACCUCGCGUGCCAAUCGAAUAAUCGAUGAAAAAUACAUUUGUUUAUUCAUACUCAGGCUUACCUUGAAUCCGUACCAAACAAUUGGCUAAGGAUAGCGUUAGCAAUUCUAUAUUGAAAGAUGUGUAAAUAAGUCAAUCAACUCUUUAAGAUUAGUCUAGCUGAGAUAAAACUGGCAUCGACCCUUUAGUAAAACACUUCAUGCAUCUCAUAACAUGAAUCACAGAAAACUUGGCUAACACAAAGGUUAGACAAGCGUUUAAGAAAAACUUGCCUUCAGUGUCUGCUACAAUAUAAUAACUUUUCCUUUCAGUCUUUACGGUCUCUACAAAACAUAACCACAUAACAUACCACAUUAGGUCAUGAAUGAACAUACAUGGUUCCUAAUGAAUCUUACCCUUCUUCUCAAUCUAAUCAUAUAUUAGAUUUGUUACUAUUGGUUUCGGCUUGUCAUUAUCUUUUACAUUAUUCCUACCAAUUUCUUUCUCUUCUAUGUCAUAUGUAGAUUUACUUUAUUAAUCCAACUCGUUUAAAGUUAAUCAUCCUUCCUCACGGCUUACUAACAUCUUUACAUUAUUAAUCGAAACUCGGUCGUCAUUUAUUAAGUAUACUUUAUUGCAUACCGUUUACAUUCACGUAUUACGUAACAACUUUUAGUUGUAACUCUUAAUGUUAUAGGCCUUAUCAUUAUUGAAUAUGGUUCACGUUCCUUAUACUUUACGUUCGUCGUUUAACUACUCAUUAAACAAUAUUAAAUUCCUAAAAUCAUCACUAUAACAGUGAUUUAGGAAAGGUCUUAUCAUGUUCAUUAAGUAAUUACAUAACCCAUACUGGUAUUGCAAACCAUUGGAUUCAUAAUCAACUUGGUCAACAAAUUUCUAUAGCCGGCUUAGCACAUUAUUUUGUUCUCAUUACGUUCAUCUUCAAUUGAUUAUUAACCUUUAAUCAUCAUACAUUAAGUGUCUAACAAUGCUUUAACAAUGUUAUAUUUACACCUUAGUUCAUUACUAAUGAGUUAUCUUUCAUUCUAUACUUGUAAACAUUCUUGUCUAUCAAAACCCUAGGACUGGCGCCGCGGUGCCACAAUUAGCUAUGCAUCCCGCGCCACACCGCGAGUUAGCAGUAUUCCCUAACACUGUUACGGCGCUGCUGCGCCACCCAUUUGGCCUUGGGUUGGCGCCGCGGCGCCAACUCUGUGCCUUAGAAAAUUUUUGCAUAUUUUAAAUUUUACGAAACUCCCGGACGCAUAACUUCUUCGUUAUAAGUCCGAUUUGGCUCAUUCAAAAGCCUACGGUUCAAAAAUUACAUACUCUAUAUGUUUAUUCAAGAAUUUUAUCUAUUUGACUUUGUUUGUUCAAAAUUCACCUAUUGGUUCAUUUUUAACGAAAACGAUAAACGUUCGUGAACGUUCAACGCUCGUUUCUUCAAUCUAAGUCGGAAUUCGAUCAUUCUUGAAUCCGCAACUCUAUAAUGCCAAAUAAGACUUGUCUCCAUUGAAAACCAAUGUUUACAAGCUCAAUCUCAAAAUUCGACUUCUAUUCCGAGAAUUUUAUGAAUUCGACGAUUAUCGUCCAAACUCGUUAAUUCCGCCUUAACUUCAUUUCUUAAGAUUUGUUCUUCGCUUUAAAUGGACUCAAUCCAUCAUAUUAACAUCUUGACAUAUAUAACUUAUUAACUUAUAAACAUGAUAAGUUAUUACUUAUUCUUUGUGAGUUUAUAACUUAUAAAAGUAUAAACUACUUAUAACUUCCUUUCUCAUGACUUAUUAUAGAUUAAGUCUUUUAACCACCAUUCUUACUCUUUAUUAUCAUACCAUAUUAUUAAAGUACACAUAUGAGUAGUUCAUAUAUACUCUUUAUAAAUUCAUAACUUAAUUAAGUUUGAAUUACUUAUUCAUGACUUAUACGGCUUAAGUCCAUUGAUUAAUCAUUCUUAUCAUUCCUUAACAUACAUGUUCUACCACUACCCCAUUAUCUAACAAUUGAAGAGAAAGAAAUUAUGGUUUAAGUUCUUACCUAUGAAGAUUACUUGCUUAAUCUUUAAUUUCCUUCUUGCUCCUUGAUUUAUCAAAAGCUAACUUGUUUCUAGCUUUCGUAGCUUUUUCUCUCUAACCAAUAAGCACUUUAUAAGUUAUAAAGUGUUGGAUGAAAUAAACAACCAACAAUUGAGCUAGCAAGCUUCCUAUUUAUAGGAAAACCAAAGUGAGGGCAUUUUAGUCCAAAGCCAAUCCCACCUCCUUAAUCACCUCCUUACUAUUCCUAGCUUAAGUACUAAGUUAACUUAGCCACCACACUAUUUGCUUGGCCAUCACAACAUCUAUCCAAUACUUGGGCAUCACAUAUACUUAACCAUUAAGUAUACUUGCUAAUCACAAAACUUAGCCUUUAAGUUUACUUGUUAAUCACUUAGCUUAUCCUUUGCUUGUUGAUCACAACUUUUACUUGUUCACCACACAUAAGCACUUUACUUACUUAUCACAUUAAUUACUUGCUCAUUACUUUGGAUCACCCAUGGGUUUAAACCAUCCAAUAACCCAUAAGUUCAUACUUUGGGCUUUUAGCUUAACUUAUACUUGGGCUUGCAUUAACAAUUCUUUGGGCUUGACCAUUAGCUUGCAUUGGGCUUACACAUUAAUUCCUAUUGGACUUACCCAUUUAUACACUUGGGCCUUAUCAAUUCUCAUUGGACUUUACAAUGUUCUACACAAUCCUAUAAAUUAAAUUCAUUUAACUUAAAGCCUUAUAACGUAUAAUUUGCGUAUUCAUCUCGUAUUCCAACUCAUAUACUUAUUCAUAUACGACAUAUUAUGCUUCAUUCAUACUCGUAUAACACCUCGUAUCAUACUCGUAUUCAUUACUUCGUAUUAUACAAUCAUUACUUUAAUUCAUUACACGCAUUAAAAUUCCUUCUCGAAAUUCAUUUUCCUUAAUUGUUAGGUUUUAAGUCCGCAGGCAAAAAACUGUGUUUGCCAUAACUGAAAUAUUAUUGGAUAUUCUAUCUCGCCUCGAUAUUCUAUCAUUACGUAUUUAUCAGAAAUUCAAAAAUAAUUCCCGAACAGAAAUGCGUGAAUAGUGUUUUUCAGAAAAUUUCUCGAAAAACUUUUAUUUCUUCUUUGAAAUUCAAACACUUUAAUUCUACCACGUAGCCAAAAUACUACGGCAUUCCGAUAUGUCUAUGUCAUAGAACGACCUUUGAAUAGCUUACUACCAUAAUUAAUUAAUUAAAUUCAUUUAAUCCACAUAAUUAAAAAAAAAAUUAAUUCUCAAAAAUCCAAAUUUUUAGGGGCGUUACACUAAGUCAUGCCAAUGCUUUCUAUUAUGAGCAAGGAAAUCUUAUAUGUCAUGUAUAAUAUCAUGAAUUUUCAUGUUACAUCACUUAGAAUGACAUAUUCCAUCGUUGGGAGCAAUAUACUUGCGUAUGUGCUCGUUUGACGCACUCCGAUCGCCUCCAAAUACGUAAUAGUCACAAAGAUGACUAUUUUGACCAUUCCUAAUUACCUCAAAUUGAAACACUUAAAGAACAAAAGUUGUAGGUCUAUUUGUCCUCGUUUCGGAUCAUCUUGAAUCACCUCAAAUGGAGUUCGUAUGAAAACGUUAUGCUUAAUUUACUACAGCAGGUCAUAGUAGGGCACCAGACACUGAUGUCCGACGCAGCUAUGCCCUAAAUAACCUUGGGGACAGCGCAGCUGUACCCCAGGUCGUAGAACAGCCCCUCAGGCUCUGCUCCUCACGAUUUCACAGACCAAAACUCCUUCCAAUCAUCAUAAUAUGAGUUAUACUUAUCCAAUUUAGUCCAUUUUUGAUUUUAUGAGUUUGUAACUCAUAAAACUACAAUAUACCAAAUACCCAAAUAUGAAUUUAUAACUCAUGUUCAUACUAAUUUUUCAUGUUUUGACAAUUUAGCGAAUUCGUUUCUCAACCAUUUCGAUUCAUUCAACUUUCGUUGUUUUCGUUUCUUCAUAUACUAACACAAUAUAUAACCAAUUAAUAGAUUAUAGCAAAGAUUGAACAUCAAAUUUUGGACUUACUAAGCCAUUUUCAUAUACAAAACACUGUUAUCUUAAUUUUCUUCUACAAAUCACUUUUCCAUGAAUUUGAUUACUCAAUACAACUUCUAUAUAACAAUUAUCAGAUUACACAUGUACAUAAUCAACACCUCAAACUCUAACCCAACAAAAAAAACAAUUUUAUAGAAAAACUAAAACUUGAAAAUAGAAGAAUGGAUUAUACCUUGAAUCUCGUACUAGCAAUAUGAUGUUAACACAGUUUAGAAAUUCUUCCUUUGAUUCCCUAUAAAAGUUCUCUGUGUUUCUCCCUUUCUUUGUUCUUAGUUUAUUAGGAGAAUACGUGAUAUAACCGACGUACGUCAGGUGAAGAAAAUAAAAAGGCGUCAUUUACAAUAAACCAAAAGCCAUAAGGCUGCAUUUAGUUUCACACAAUUUUCCCCAUACUAGAUUAUUUUAAUAAUAUUAUAUUAUAUAGUUUUUAUUUGUCACACUUGUAACCAAUUUACAUAACUUACAAUAAUAAUUAUAAUAAUUAUAAUUUUUUAUUUAUAAUUCUUCUGAUGAUUAAUUUACUUAUUUUCUUUAACAUUAAACAACUCAUUUAAUUUAAUUAAAUAAAUUAAAUCUUCAAAGAAUAAAAUAUACCUUUGCUUUAAUUUAAUUAUUAUACACACGUAACUAAAUUAUUAUACCACAAUUUCAUAAAUUAUUUAUUUUUCUCAAUAAAUAAAUUAUUUAAAAUAUUUAUUUAAUUUAAUAAAUAUUUAAAAAUAAUUACCAAAUUCAUUUAAUUUCUUCAAUAGUUAACUUAACUAUUGAACAUCACUUUCCCAAUAUAUGAAUAUAUAUUUCUCUUCACAACAAAUCACAUAUUUAAAAAUAUAUAACAUGUAUAUAUACAUACUCAAACUCAAAACAUCUCAUAAUAAGAAUUUUAAUUAUUAAAUUCCUAUUUUAAAAACUUCUAAAAAUUUGGGUUGUCACAUUCUUCCUCAUACGCAUCAGCUCCAGGUCUGUAGCUUGAGCAACUUUAACUUUAUCGAUUAAAGUCAGUUUUACUCAUAUAUUUGCCAUCAUCACGUGGGUCCCUGGAGUCUUUAACUCUAUCUCCAUCCUUUGUAAGCCAUACAAAAUGGGCCUUUGCGUUGACAAUAUCGCACUCGUACCAGCAUAUGAUCUUCUACUCAACGCGUCAGCUACCACGUUCGUUUUCCCAGGAUGGUAUUGAAUGGUAUGAUUGUAAACUUUCAACAUCUCGAGCCAACAUCGUUGUCGCAUGUUGAGUUCCUUUUGGGUGAAGAAUUAUUUGAGGCUUUUAUGAUCCGUAUAGAUCUUCACUUUCUCCCUAUACAGAUAAUGCCUCCAGAUUUUAAGCACGAAAAUUACAGCUGCCAACUCUAGAUCAUAAGUAGGAUAAUUCCUCACAUAUUCUUUGAGUUGUCGCGAGGCAUAAGCUAUGACUUUCCCAUGUUGCAUGAGAACACAUCCUAAACCUUUUCCGGAAGCAUCGCUGUAUAUGACAAAUCUCUCCGAACCAGAUGGUAUAGUCAGAACAGGUGCUGAAAUGAGUCUCUUUUUGAGUUCUUAAAAACUCUUCCCACGAAUCUCCAAUAAUAACCAGCUAAGCCCAGAAAGGUACGUACUUCGGUCACUGACUUAGGUUGCUCCCAGCUUUGUAUUGCUUCAAUCUUUGUGGGGUCAACAGAUAUUCCAUAAUUUGAUAUCACGUGCCCAAGGAAUUCUACUUCCUCAAGUCAAAACUCUUAUUUCUUCAACUUGGCAUAUAGCUUGUUUUUAUGAAGCUUUUGGAGUACCAGCCUCAAGUGUUGCUCAUGAUCUUCUCGGCUUUUGGAGUAUAUGAGGAUAUCAUCAAUAAAGACGACAAAAAAAUGAUCCAAAUAUUCCUUGAAUACUCAGUUCAUCAUAUCCAUGAAGGCAGCAGGAGCAUUAGUCAAUCCAAAAGACAUAACUAGGAACUCAUAAUGCCCGUACCGAGUUCUGAAAGCAGUCUUUGGAAUGUCAUCGGUUUUAAUUUUUAACUGAUGAUAUUCGGAACGAAGAUUAAUCUUUGAAAAGAAUUUGGUGCCUUGCAACUGGUCAAACAGGUCAUCAAUGCGAGGCAACGGGUACCUAUUUUUGAUGGUGACAUGGUUCAACUCCUGAUAAUCAAUACAAAGUCGCAUACUCCCAUCUUUCUUCUUCACGAAUAGAAUAGGAGCACCCCAAGGAGAUGUACUAUGAAGAAUGAAACCGAUGUCUAACAAUUCCUGCAGUUGGGUUUUUAACUCCUGAAUUUCAAUAGGAGCCAUUCUAUAUGGGGCUUUGGAAAUGGGUUUUGUACCAGGUUCAAGGUCAAUACCAAACUCGAUUUCACGCUCCGGGGGUAGGCCAGGAAGUUCUUCGUGGAAUACGUCAGGAAAUUUAUUAGCAAUAGAAAUAUCAUUCAAAUAUAACUUAUUUGUAUUUAAAUCUAUGACAUGGGCUAAGAAAGCUUGACAUCCGUUUUCAAUAAACGAAUAGCUUUAUGGCUUAAUAUGACAGCGAUUAACUUUAUUGGUUUGGUUGCUUGAAUUCUCAUAAUAGGUUGGUUAGGAAUAUGAAAGCUAAUAACCUUACAAAAAGAAUCAAUUUUAGCAUGAUGAUUAGUUAAUCAAUCAAUCCCUAAAAUCACCUCAAAUGCAAGUAUUUUCAAAGAGAUAAGAUCGACAGGCAAUGUGCGGUUGCCGAUUUGAAUAAAAAAAGACUUAAUAAACACUAGAUGUAAUGAAGGUUUCUCCCAACGGAGAUUUAACAGAUAAGUCAAAGUCUAAUUUCUCUGGAGUUAAAUUUAAACGUUGAGCGCAUAAUUCAAAAUAGCACUUCUCUUUUCUUUAAAACGUUUUACAAGGACAACAUUCAGUAAAACAUCAAUUUCGGUCCAAGAUCUUGAGCAUUUCAUACUUUCUUUGAAAAAUAACAUCCCAACACUAAGUCUGUAAGUCCGACAUUACUUAUGAGCACGUCUAGGUGAUCAGCCUAUAGUACUCCAUUUUGAUCAACACUACAUUCUUUAAACGUAUGUACGUUUAAAUGGUGACAACCUAACGUGCCUAUCGUUUGAUGACAAACCAUUUGUUAAGGAUACUCAGUCUUCAUUUGAAAACCACACCAAUAUAGCUUGGUAAAACAUUGACCAUACUUCGAUAGAUUAUAAUAAAUCCAAACAUCUUAAGUCUAUCCGAAAGAAUUGGCUUUGACUUCAUCAUACACCAAUUCAUACACAAGAGUACAUGAAACACAAAACAUGUCUAGACUGAGCAUAGACAAGGGUUAGAAUACUUGCCUUCAACAUCUGCUACUGUUAUUACACAUUCACUUUAAGUCUUUAAGGUCUCUACAAUAGAAGCUCACAUAACAUACCACAUUAGGUCGUGAAUAAACAUGCAUGGUUCCUAAUGAAUCAUACCCUUCUUCUCAAUCUAAUCAUGUAUUAGAUUUAUUACUAUUUGUUCUGGUUUUUUGUUAUAUUUUACAUCAUCAUUACGUUCAUGCUCAAUUGAUUAUCUUCAACCUUUAGGUAUCAUACUUAAGGUUUAACAAUGCCUUAACAAUGUUAUAAUUAAGAUUUAUUUCAUUGUUAAUCAAUUGACAUCCUUGCUCUACUUACAAACAUUCUUUACUGUCAACAUCCUAAGGCUGGCAUUGCACCGCCAUCAGUUCUUCUUUGUGCCACGCUGCGGCGCGACUUAGCAGUGGCAAAGGUCAGGGCUCGAUGCUACAGCGCGAGUCCUUAUGCAAUGGGCUGCGCUGCGACGCCACUCUACAGUGCCUAACUUCCUGACUCGGCGUUGCGGCGCGAGUCUCAGUACUAUAUGUCGGGCUACGGUGUGACUCCUCAGUAGGUUAAGACACUAUGCACAGUGCUGCAACGCCACACAUUAGCCUUGGGCUUGCGCCGCGGUGCUAGCUCUGUGCACCAGACCGUGAAAAAUUUUGUUUUGCAUAACGAACUUCCCAGACUCCAAAUUUGAUCAGUUUAAGUUCGAAUUGGCUCGUUCAAAAUCCAUUAGCUCAAAUCAUAUACUCUACGUGUUCAUGCAAGAAUUUUAUAUUUUUGACUUCGUUAGCUUAAAAUUCAUCUAUUGGUUCAUUAUUAACGAAAAUGAUAAAUGUUCGUGAACGUUCAACACUCGUUUCUUCAUUCUAAGUCAGAAUUCGACCAUUUUUGACUCCGCAACUCUAUAAUUUUAAAUAAGACUUGUUCCCAUUGAAAACCAACGUUUCCGAGCUCAAAAUUAAAAUUUGACUUCUAAUCCGAGAAUUUCACGAAUUCAACGAUUAUCGUCCAAUCGUGAGAAUUCCGGCAUAACUUCGUUACUUAUGAUUUGUUCAUCUUUUCAAAUGGAUUCUAACCAUCAAAUUUACAUCUUAACCUACAUUUUAUAUCAACUAAUUUACAUGAUAAGUUAUUACUUAUGUUUCAUGAGUUUAUAACUUAUCAAAGUAUAAACUACAUAUUAUUUCAUUUCUCAUGACUUAUGAUAGUUUAAGUCUUCUAACCAACAUCCUUACAUCCUUUUAACAUAUAAACUUCAUUCAUGUUAACAAGUUACAAGUCUUACAAGUUCUUCCUUAGUUCAAAGCUUAUCUAAUGAACAAAGUGCUUAUUUACGGCUUAUUAAGACUUACGUCCUAAGAUUCUUCAUUCUUAUCAUUUCUUAGCAUACAUGUCCAUUAAUCCACAAUUCUCUUAUGAACCUAUAAUAGCAGAGAUGGAAGACUAAUGACAUAAGAGGCUUACCCUUGUUAAACAAGCUUUCUUCUUCUUUUCUAACAAAUGAAAGUCUAACUUAUUCUUGCUUAUUCUAUAUAGUAAUUAAGUUAAAAGUGUUGGAUGAAAAUAAAAACCAACAAAUGAAAUCCUAAGCUUGUUAUUUAUAGGAUUUCCUAAGUUAGGGAAUAAUGGACAAAAGCCAAUCCCACCUCCUUAUUACACUUCCAUACUAUUCAUUACCUAGCUAUUAAGUAAACUUGCUCCCUACUUCUUUUAUUUGGUCAUUACAUAAUUUACUUGGUCACCACAUUAUUCUUUUGGUCACCAAGAUUACCAUAUGAUCAUGGGUUGCCCCAUGGGUCACCCUAACCCAUUGGAUCAAUAGCUUGGCUUAGGUUUAAUUAUCUUAACUUAAGCUUUUGGGCUUACAUUAAUUCCCUUUGGACUUUACUUUAAUAACCACUUGGGCUUUAACAUUACUCACACUUGGGCUUGCACAUUAAUUUCCAUUGGAUUUUACAAAUUGCUACACCAUCCCACAAGUCCAUUUCAUUUGGUUUAAGCCUUAUAACGUAUUAUUUAUGUAUUAUUCUCGUAUUCUAACUCGUAUAAUAAUUCAUAUUAUACGAUAUUCCAUCCUUCAUACAUACUCGUAUAAUACUUCGUAUCAUACUUGUAUUUGAUACCUUUUACAAUACAUAUAUAUUAUACGAUCAUUACAUUAACUUCUUAACGCUUUAUUUUUCCUAAAGUCCUCAAAUUAAGUCCGCAAGCUAAAAAUUACAUUUUCCAUACUCGAAUUAUUAUUACAUAAUCCAACUCACUUCGAUAUUCUAUCGUUAUGUAUCUCUCGGAAGUUCAAAAAUAAUUCCCGAGCAGAAAUCAAUGAAUAGUAUUUUUCAAAAAAUUUCUCGAAAAAGUUUUAUUUUCGUCUUGGAAAUCCAAACAUUUUAAUUCUCUCACGUAGUUGAAAUACUAUGACAUUCCGACGUUUCUAGGUUAUAGAACGACAUUCAUCUUACUAACUCGUAGUAAUAUCAAAUAAUAUAAUUGUAUUCAUUAUUUAAUUAAAUAAAAUUAUUUUACAAUGGAUCCGAAUUUCUCGGUUGUUAUGAAUACACAUACACUAAUUAGUCAAAUACUUGACUUAUGCAUUGGUUUACUUAACUUUACUUCUUAGGGUUCACAUUCAUAGAAUCUAAGUUUACGCGACAACUUCAUUUACUACCGAUUUACGGCUUCAUGACAUACGGAGAUGUCUUACUCAUAUUAUCAUCAUCUUUGAUGAUUUACAUUCUUAUCUUCUUCUUAUAACUCUCCUAGGACUCAGCACACAUCGUGUAUCUGCUAGUAGUCCAUAUGGUACUCUGACUGGUUUCCCACAAACAACCAACAAACAAGUUCCCGUCUCGUCUACACUGCCAUCACAGUGAGUUAGAUCGGUUGCCAGUUUCGUAUAUACCUUCGCUCUCUGAAAGAAUUGUUUAGCCCAGCUGCCAUAUGUCAACCAUCAAAGGUUAUGAUUGCACCACAACCUAACUUAUCUUAACUUAUUCGAACUAUUAAACUAUAAUGUUCGUUAAGUUAAUUUCUUAUUCCUUAUGGCUUUCUGGUAACUAAAUGACAUACCUCAAGAUUUACAUUAUCGUCCAAGUCAUACAGUCUUUGUAUAUUCAGAAUGAUCAUUCAAGUUAAUCAUUAACUCGACUUCAUUACGUUAUGCGUACUUAUCUUUAAUUUAGCUUCUUCAUCGUUCACGGUUUAAUCAUUGGUCUUCAUUAUCAUACGGUCAAACCAUACACCGGGUGUAGGUUCUAUCCAUUUAAUAUUUGCGUACAAUCAAUCUCACGUCGGUUAAAGUGUUUAAUGCUUACAUUUUAAUCUAACAUUCUCCAUCCGACCCAUAUUCAGCUUUCGUUAAUCUUAUUACCAUUCAUUACGGCUUUCUUGAUCAUUCAUUCUUACUUACUAUCUUUCGUUAUCCAUUAUAUGAACCCCAUAUUCAUUACUCAUUCUUAAUGUCGAAUCCAUACCGUUCGCUAUAUGCUAAGACCGAUCGUUAAUCACAACAACGUUGUGUUCAGAGCGUAUAUAUGUUUACACUUAUCUCUCAUUACCAUAACAUAACAUUAAAAUGUUAUUCGUUAACCUUGUCAAUCAACGUAUAAGGAAUCACCAUCAUAGCAAUCCCUCACGUUCGUUUAUCGCAACUACGGUCCCCGGAUAUCGGUUUUGUAACCUAUGUUCACAUUCUUUAUCUUUUAAUCUCGCUUAAUCUUUCCAUUCAACCUUCAAUAAAGUUUAAAUCACUUCAUUAAGUGUUACAUUUGAUGAACUAUAUGUUCAUUAGCUUUCGUUAUACAUUCCCUAGGUUUUGAGCAGUUAAAAGAUCAUUACUGGACUUUGCCCUGCACCGGCGGCGUCGGUUCCCGCUUUAUCACUCGCGCUGCAGCACAACUCUGCAGUGUCAAACUGCCGGGGUUGGCACUGCGCCGCCGCCUCUCAAGGCACGGCUCGCGCUGCAGUGCCAAGCCUUAAUCCUUGAAAAAUGUUCUAUGUCUUGGAUCUAGUUUGAGACGCUUACUUCCCGAUCUCAUAACUUAUUCUUUAUAACUUGGAACGAGGUCAUUCCAAAUCCAUUUUCAUCCUUAUCUUACACACUUCAAUUACCUUCGGACAGAACUUCAUUCUGAAUCCGUUAACAUGCCAUUUGAUUGGCUCAAUCUUCGUCCAUUCGACGACUCAUGUUUUCUACGUUCUCUUACAUUCUUAUGAAACCCCACACGUUCGGGUUCAUUUACACACUUUCUAAUUCUCGUUCAUCUUUUAAGAAAUUUUUGCCAUAACUUCGUUAUAGCUGAGUUUUAAUCCGUUCUACAUGAAUGUUUCUACCGUUCCUAACCAAGCAAUAAGCAUCUAACUUAUACGCGAUGGUUUUAAACUUGUCCAUCAAUAACAUCUAUACUACGAUGGUUUUAAAUUUGUCAAUCAACAACAUUCUUCACGUUCUUCGCGUGUUCUUCGUUAGUUCUUCAUUUUUAAUCGAUAUUUUGAUUACAAUUUCACUUUUUCCUGGAAUUUGAUGUUAUACAACACCAUUCCUUACUUAUUUCACCGAAUCACUCAUAUGAGUCAUUCGGAUCGUUUAUAUUCAUUACGAAUUUUAUACUUCCUUCAGAAAUUUAUUUACUAAAUUUCUAAUUCUUAUUUUUCAUUUCUCAAUGAUUUCAACCAUAUGAAAUUAUUCCUAACAUCAUUUACUUCUGAUUCUCAUUAAGCUAUGUUUUAAACAUAGAAAUUUAAAGAAAAAUUAUACGAGACAAGGUUUCAGAUUACCUUUCUCCUUUAAUCUCCUUCCGUCGGACAAAGGUUUCUCACGAGCAAGCUUUUCCUCUUCAUUUUCCUCUUCUUUAUCCCAUCUGAACUCUCUCUCUCUCUCUCAAGGUGUAGGAUUUUCAAAAUCCCAAAAUAAUGAAUUUUGUUUCCUAUUUAUAAUUUUUUAAAGCUAGGGGCAAAAUAGUCAUUUUGCCCCUAGAUUCACUAUUCGCACCUCCUUACUUCCACCUCCUUACUAUUCACGAAACUUUCAUUGGAAGUUUCAUGGUUCCGUCUUUCGAGUUUCGUCCGACAGUUUUAAAAAAAUGCGAUUCUCAGAAUCCAAAUAUUUUUGGAUAUUUCGUCUUUUGUUUACCGAUUAACUUUUACGUAUUCCUUGGAUCUCCGAAAAACUAAAAAACACUUUUUCACAAUAAGCGUUUUCCUUCACGUUUUCCCCUAAUAUAGUAAACGAAUUAAAAGUACAUAACAAUACUUUUCGUCAUUUUUAUUUCGUCUGAUUUCUGCACAUUUUUUGAGAAAAACUUUUAUCGACUUACUUAACUUUUCACGAUAUAUUAUCGUUAAAUCUUUCAACGGAAUGUCAUUUCGACAUACCGAACUCUCAGAAAGGCUUAGGUUAUUCAAACCCUAACUCUUAGGGUUUUUUUGGGUGAAUAAUGUAUAUUUCAUCUUUUUCCCUAGAAAUAUUUGUUCCCAGAAAAUUUUUUAUUUUCGUCUUGAAAAUUCUUACUCGUUCAGUCUAUCUCGUAACCAGAAUCCUCCCGAUUAAUAAUCAUCCUAGGUUCUAGAACGAUUAAUAAACAUAUAGCACAAAAUAGUAUUAAUAAAAAUUCAUUUUAUUAAUAACUAAUUCUUUAAAUCUUAAAUUCUGGACAAUCCAAAUUUCCGGGUUGUCACACUACAUGAAUGCACACAUUUAAUAAUCCUAAAUUUAAACAUAAACUAACAUAUACAAAUCUAACUAAUGAAAUUAAACAUGCAAACAUGAAAAUUAAACUAACUCCCCCAAACUUGAAAAAUUACAAUGUCCUCAUUGGAAAGAUAAAGCAAUAACUGUGUGAGGACUUCCCUUUAAUCGCCUAAGCUUGGGGUGGUGGUGGCUAUUAUUCCUCAUCUGAAUCACUGGGUGGAAACCUUGGCAUCGGGGCUAGCUGCUAGUAUGGGAACUGUGCGUUAGGGUUAAAACUCUGGAGCGUCGCAUUUAACGAGGCAAAAGACAUAUUCAUGGCCUCUAACAUAAGAUCAUGUCUCGGCGUGAGUCUCCUCAUCUGUCUUCGGGCUUCCUUGUUAUACCCAUCCAUUUGUCUUUGGAGGUUAUGAAACUGAAGGCUAGAUGUAGCCUCGAGUUAUGGUCUCUCAUCCGUCCCUUGCUCUCCCAUCGUCGCAUCCCCCUGAAACUCGUCGUGAUCUGAGGUGUCCUCAGCCUCAACCUUAUCCUCUGAGGCUGGUGAAAAUACAAAACCAACUCCUCUAGGGUAAGACUCGCCCCGAGGCCACACCGAAUAGCGCUCAAUCAUCCUCGUGUCUAACGUCUAAAGUGGCAUCUGGGUGGUUUCAUCAUCGGACCAUCUUAACCCCGCCUGUCUACACAACCCAUAAAUGAGCGAUGGGUGUGGCAAGCCACCAGAGUAUGGUCCUCGCAGGCAUCUUCGGAUAGAAACAAUGAUUAUAGCUCCCACAUCGAUGAGAAAAUCUUGGACAAUGGCAUAUAAAAGUAGUGCCUUCUCCUUGGGCACAUCUGACGUGUGUGUAGAUGGAAACAGCUUAGCGUACAUGAACAUGUACUAUAUCUUUCCAUAUCGGUUGAGAUCCUUAUUGUGGAAGAUAGUGCCCCCUUUUCGGCCCUUGAUCCAUGUUGUACCAGGCCUUGUAAUUUUCGUCAAAAUAGCCUCGUAGUCGGGAUCAUGGUCACGUAAGUAAGCAUACUGGUAGUCUCUAGGAACUCGUAGUUGGUAGUACGUGUUGAUGGCGUUGACACUAAAAAGAACUUGUUUGACCCGAACAAAUGCAAUGAAUGGGGCCUUAUCCUCUGCGUUGGCAUAAAAUUCUUUGACCACAUUCAUAAUCGCUGCCUCAGGCUCUUCCGUGAACCUAUUCCAUCCUUUCUCAUAAAUUUGCUGCAUCAUUUCACCGUCAACGUGUUCAAGUGCCAACCCCCGCUCUGGUGUGAGAGCUUUUGUUACAAGGUAGUCAUAACGGUCGGCGGCGGCACUUAUGAAUUUGCACCUAUCAAAGGUCCUUGUUAGUGGUGUGGACCCUAAACUUUCUUAACAUUGUCUCUUUGAUGCCAGUUUAGGUGCCAUUGGAAUUGGAAUUUAUGAGCUUCACUAAGAAUUCCCCCAACUUCCCUCAAGAAAUUCGUCAAGCACGUGGCGUGCAAGACUUGCAAUACCCCCAAACUUAGUGAUUUGGCUUCAACUAUGGUGAUAAGUGUUGAGAAAUUGGAAGAUAAACUUCUCACUCUCAGUAUAUCCCCAAGUUGGUUGAUUGUUCCUUCCCUUUGUGCUAUAAAAAUCCACUCAAGAAGAACCCUAACCUUGAACUUCUGAAUUGGUGGGAAUUGAGAUGGUUAGAGUGUGGUGUGGAGGGAUGGUUUUAUAAAGGGGAGGUGAUGUAAAGAGGUAUGGGGGGUUGAAGUAGUGGGCAAGUGGUGUAAUGGAGUGGGGAGAUGGGUCUUAAGCUGCUAAAUCGUGGGUUAAGAGUGGAGUAGUAGGGUUUCAGUUGGUUUGCAUUUAGAAAAAAGUGGGGGGAGAUGGUCUGAGUGCUCUAUAACUGCUCAAACAACCUCUUUAGAUUCCGUACCCCCGCCCCGGCGAGGGGUAGUAAGCCUUGGAAGCCCGCCCCAGCGGGCAUGUAUUCUAUUUUGAGAGUUGAGACCCCCUCCCCGGCUAGCUUAUGCAUGCCAAAAUACCCGCCUCGGCUGGCGUGCUUAUUGUUAAUGAGAUUAGUACCCCCGCCCCGGCGGAGGUUUCCUUCACAAAAAACCCGCCUCGGCGGGCAUGCCUUCUGCAAGUUCACUUGAUUUUGUCCAUUCUUUCCAUCCAACUCCAUUCCAUAAGCUUGUUAAGUACCUGAAACAUCAUUAAACAUGAUUAUAAUUUAAUAUUGAGCAAAUUAAGCAUGGAAGGUAAGAUUAUCUAAAAAAUAUAACUUAACUAACUACUUAAUGAACUUAUUCUAUACUAAUUAGUAAUCUAAACUACAUUUUAACUAGCAUACAUAAAAAUAUUGAGAAUAACAAUAACAUUGGGUUGCUUCCCAACUAGCGCUUGAUUUUAUGUCUUUCAGCCCAACUACUUCCUGUUUAUGGCACGUCAGCAAGUGUGAUCGCGAUGACAUCCAUGUUAGAUUCGCCACCCCAAUAAUUUUUCAAACGUUGACCAUUGACCUUGAACGUUUCCAAUGGAUUCCUACUAUAUAAUUCAACAACUCCAUUUGGGAAAACAUUUUUGAUAGUAAAUGGACCUGACCACCUCGAUUUUAGCUUUCCUAGGAACAACCACACUCUUGAGUUGAACAAUAGAACCGAUUGCCCUGGUUCAAAAGUUCUCUGCAUGAUUUUCUGGUCGUGCCAUUUCUUGACUUUUUCUUUGUAUAACUUCGAGUUCUCAUAGGCUUGAAGUCAGAAUUCAUCGAGUACAUUCAAUUGAAGUAGCCUCUUUUCUCCCGCCACUGCUUGAUCGAAGUUAAGUUUCUGAAUUACCCAAUAGGCUUUAUGUUGUAACUCCACCGGUAGGUGACAUACUUUCCCGUAAACCAACUAAUAUGGCGACAUCCCAAUUGGUGUCUUGUAAGUUGUUCUGUAAGCUCAUAUUGCAUCGUCCAAUUUGAGAGACGAGUCUUUUCUGUUUGGGUUUACUACCUUCUCCAAGAUUUUCUUUACCUCCCUAUUUGAAACCUCAGUUUGCCCACUUUUUUGGGGAUAGCCACGUUGUGGUUAACACUAUAUUUUGCUAAAAGAGCUGUAAACAAUCUGUUGCAGAAGUGACUACCCUGGUCACUUAUAAUAGCUUUUGGCAUGCCAAAUCUUGUAAAAAUAUUCUUGUGCAAGAAUUUAAGAAGCACCUUGGCAUCAUUUGUGGGGAGUGCUACGGCUUCAACCCAUUUUGAUAUAUAGUCAACCACAAGCAAGAUGUACUAAUUAUUGAAUGAUGAAGGAAAUGGCCCCAUAAAAUAUAUGCCCCAUACAUCAAAAAUUUCAACUUCUAAGAUAGUUUGUAGUGGCAUGUCAUUCCGCUUUGAUAUGUUACCCACCCUUUGACUGUAACGACCCCAAAAUCCAUACAAUUCAAAUAUCGACUUUGGUCGAUAAUAACACGUCUAACUUCUGAUUUUACAUCAUUAUUCGAUGCUAAACUUAAUAAAAUGCGGAAUAAUUUAAACUUUUCUAUCUUAUUACUUUAAUUCCCUGAAUCAAAACCUUUAUCAUCUACAUGUUUUUAAAUCAAGUUAUUUUAUGAUUCGCUUCAUCAAAGUUAUUAUAUAGAAUCUUACAUUUUGAUCCUAUAACCUUUACAUAUCAGAUAACUCAAACUUGACAGUUUAUCAUUACAUAAUCAUUUUAACAUAUCAAGUACAUUUCUCAAAACCUUUAUCUUUACUUACCUUUAAACCAUACUUAGCUUAUUACUCGCCUUAUCAGAGUUAAUAAAUAAAACUUACAUCCAUGUUAAAUACCCUUUCACACAACAAACAAAACUUAAACUUUGUAACUCAACAUCUAUUAAACAUCAUACAUUAUUCAGAACCCUAAAUGUAACGCCCCAGAAAAUCAAACCUUUUGUAAAUACUGUUAAUAAUGAAUAAAAUAAUAUUAUUUAUUAUUAUUAUGUGUUGAUAAGAUGAAUGUCAUUGUAUAACCUAGAAACGUCGAAACGUCGUAGUAUUUUAACUACGUAAAUGAAUUAAAGUGUUUGAAUUUCUAAGAUGAAAAUAAAAGCUUUCCGAGAAAUUUUCCGAAAAACACUAUUCAUCGACUUUCGCUCAGGAAUUAUUUUUGAACUUCCGAAAUAUACGUAACGUUAUAAUAUCAAGGGGAGAUAGAUUACGUAAUAAUAAUCUAAGUAUGGAAAACGCAAUAUUUCGCAUGCGGGCUUAUUUUGAGAACGUUAGGAAUAUUAAGCGUUAUGAAUAGAAUGUAUUGAUUGUAUGAUAUGUAAGUAUUAUACGAGGUAUUGAAAGCAAGUAUGAUACGAAGUAUUAUACUAGUAUGUAUGAAGAAUGGAAUAAUGUAUGUUACGAAUUAAUAUACGAACUUGAAUACGAGGAUUAUACGUAUAGUAUAUAUGUCAAGGUUUUUAAUUAAAUAGAAUGGACUUAUAGGAUUAUUGUUAAAGUAGUAGAGUCCAAUGAGAAUUAAGGUGCAAGCAUAAGUGUUUGUUAAUCAAAAGUCCAAACUAAUGUAAUGCAAGCCUGUAACGCCCCAGAAAAAUUGAACCUUUGUAAAUACUUUUAAUAAUGAAUAAAAUAAUAUUAUUUAUUAUCAUUAUGUGUUGAUAAGAUGAAUGUCGUUCUAUAACCGAGAAUCGUCGGAAUGACGUAGUAUUUUAACUACGUGAGAGAAUUAAAAUGUUUGAAUUUCUAAGACGAAAACAAAAGCUUUCCGAGAAAUUUUUUGAAAAACACUAUUCAUUGAUUUCUGCUCGAGAAUUAUUUUUGAACUUCCAAUAAAUACAUAACGUUAUAAUAUCAAGGUGAUAUUGAUUAUGCAAUAAUAAUCUAUGUAUGGAAAACGUAAUAUUUUGCAUGCGGACCUAAUUUGGGAAUGUUAGGUUUAUUAAGCGUUAAGGGAAAAGAAGUUGUAAUCGUAUGAUGUGUAAACAUUGUACAAAGUAAUGAACGUAAGUAUAAUACAACGUAUUAUGUUAUUAUGAAUGGAGAAUGAAGUAACGUAUAUUACGAAUUAAUAUACGAGCUAGCAUAUGAGAAUUAUACGUGGUGUAUAUAUGUUAAUUGUUAAUUGAAGGUAAUGGACUUGUAGGAUUAUUAGCAUAAUGGUAGAAGUCCAAUAGAAUGUGAUACUCAAGCCCAAGUGUUUGAAAAAUCAUAAGUCCAAUCUAUUGUAGCAUAAGCCCAAUAAGGAAUUAGCUAGAUAAAUUAGCAAGCCCAAUAAAUUGGACAUGAUCCAUGGGGCAAAACAAGUGAGAAAGGGGUUGACUUGAUGGGCAAAUAAUUUAUGUGAAAAGCAAAUGUUGUGGCUAGCAAGUAGACUGGAUGUUAAGUAAUGAAUAGUAAGGAGGUGGAAGUUGAGGAGGUUAGUAAGGAGGUGGGAGGUGUUAUUGACAAUAGUGCCCUCACUUUGAGUUGCCUAUAAAUAGAAGGAUUGAUUUCCAUUUGUUGGUUGUUAAAUUUCUCCCAACUCCUCUCAAGAUAAGAAACUUAAUUGUUAGAGAGAAUAAGCCACAUAAGCACUUAUAAGCCAUUUCAACCUUUGCUAGAUUUUUCAAAGUGAAGUGAAGUAAUAGUCUUCAAGGGUAAGACUCAUGUCUAUUAUCUUUAUCUCUUCUAUGAUAGGAUUGAUAGAGAAGUGAGAUUGUUUGAUAAUAACAUGUAAUAAGUCAUUGAUAGAUGAACUUAAGCCGAAUAAGUUGAAUAAGCAACUUGAACCUAAAUAAGUUGAUAAGCUUGUAAAGAACUUGUCAUAUGAUUAUAGUAUGAUCAAUAUAGUAUGAUAACAUUUAUUGAUGGACUUAUGUUCAUAGUAAGUCAUAAGCAUGAGAAUUUAUAGUUCAUUUGUUAAAUAAGUCAUUAACUUAUGAGAAUAAUUCAAAACCUACUUUAACAAUAAGCUGGUGUAAUAAGUAACUUGUAAUGUUCUUAUGUUGGUUAAAAUUCAUUAAGAAUGAAGUUUUGCCGGAAUUCUCACGAUUAGAUGAUAAUCGUCAAAUUCGUGAAAUUCUCGGGAUAGAAGUCGUAAUUUGUGUUUGAAGUCGGAAACGUUGGUUUUCGAUGGAGACAAGUCAUAUUUGGCAUUAUAGAGUUGCGGACUCGAAAAUGACCGAAUUCCGACUUAGAACGAAGAAAUGAAUGUUGAACGUUCACGGACGUUUAUCGUUUACGUUGAAAAUGAACUAAUAGGUUAAAUUUUAGCAAACGAAGUCAAAUAGAUAAAACCUGUGCAUAAACUCAUAGAGUACGUAAUUUGUGAACCGUAGGCUUUUGAACGAGCCAAUUCAGACUUAAAACGAAGAAGUUAUGCGUCUGGGAGUUUCGCCGAAUUUGCAAAAGCUGCAAAUUUUCUAAGGCACAGAGUAGGUUCCGUGGCGCCAACCCAAGGCCAAAUGAGUGGCGCCGCAGUGUCGGUACAGUGUCUGAGCACACUGCUAACUCGCGCCACAGCGCGACCUAUAGAGUAAGGACUCGCGCUGCAGCGCCGAGUCCGGGACUUGCCUACUGUUAACUCGCGCCGCAGCGCGGCUUGAAGAGUAUUGGGUGGCGCCGCAGCGCCAACCCUAGGAUGUGGAUAGUAAUGAAUGCUUUCUGAUAUAGAAUGAAAGAGAACUCAUUAAUAAUGAACUAAGAUAUAAUCAUAACAUUGUUAAGGCAUUGUUAGACACUUAAUGUAUUUUGAUUAAGGAUUAAUAAUCAAUUGAAAGUGAACCAAAUGUGAAUGGCGUAAUGAAAAGCCGAAACCCAUAAUAACAGAUUUAAGUCAGGAUUUAGAUUGAGAUGAAGGGUAAGAUAUAAUAGUAUACAUACUUGAUUAUAUAUGACCUAAUGUGGUAUGUUAUAUGAUCAUGUAUUGUAGAGACUUAGAGACUUAAAGUUUACGUGUGAUAAUCAGUAAGCAGACGUUGAAGGCAAGUAUUCUAACCCUUGUUCCAGUUCAGUCUAGACAAGCUUUGUAAUUCAUGCAAUCUUUCGCAUGAAGUCUUGAAUGAUGAAGUCAAAGCCAAUUCUUUUGGCUAGACUUAUAUUAUGAAUCUGUCAAGCAUGAUUAAUGUUUACCGAGUUAUAUUGGUAUGGUUUUCAAUCGAAGACCGAGUAUGUAAAAAAUGUUUUUGUUGUUUAACGGCAGGCACAUGAGGUUGCCACAACUUAAACGUAUACACGUUUAAUGAAUGUAGUGUUGAUCAACAUAGAGUACUAUGGGCUGAUCACCCAGAAGUGCUCGUAAGCUAUGUCGUACUUACAGACUUAGUGUCGGGUUGUCCUUUUCAAAAGAAAUUAUGAACUGCUCAUAGUCUUGAGCUAUAAUUGAUAUUCUACUGAAUAUGGUUGAUGAAAAAUGUUUUGAAUGAAAAGAAGUGCUAUUUUGGAUUAUCGAUAGUACUUCAUAACUAUUGUUCUGUUACUGAAGAUAUAUGAGUUCUAUGUUUCAAGCAUGUUGUUUAUUAGAAUUGUAGUACUUGUUGAGCUAGUAAUGCUCACUCUUGCUUGAACCAUAUGAACACAGCUAAGAUCGAGCGGACCGAAGGCUCAGGCAAAGACAAGGUCAAGGCGAAGACAAACCCUUAAAUUACUUUAUGUGAUGAUCAAGUGUUGUGAUGAGCAAGAAAGGGGAGUGGCUAUCAAGUUUACUUAGGGCUAAAGUAAGGAAUAGUAAGGAGGUUAGUUGAGGAGGUGGGAGGUUAUAAUGACCAUUCUACCCUAACUUAGCCAAGCCUAUAAAUAGAGAGCUCCGCAAUUCAUUUGUUGCUCGAUUAAAAUUCAUUCAAAUUUUAUCAAGAUAAGUGCUUAAGCGUUAGAGAGAAUAAGUCAAGAAUAAGUCAAACAACCUUUGUUAGAUUUUCAAAGAAGAGAAGAACAAGUUCUUCAAGGGUAAGACUCUAGUCUAAUACAUCUUCUAUCUCUAUCAUUGUAGGGUGAUAAGAGAAGUGUAAUUUAAUGAACAUGUAUGCUAAGAACAUAUAAGAAGUGAUUAAUGAAUGAACUUAAGCCGAAUAAGUUGUGAAUAAGCAACUUGAACCUAAAUAAAUUGAUAAACUUAUGAAGAACUUGUCAUAUGAUGUUAGUAUGUUCAAUAUGGUAUGAGAACAUAGAGUACUAUAGGCUGAUCACCUAGACGUGCUCGUAAGUAAUGUUGGACCUACAGACUUAGUGUCGGGAUGUCCUUUUCAAAAGAACUGAUGAAAUGCUCAAGGUCUUGUACCGAAAUUGAUGUUUUACUGAAUAUUGUUGUUGUAAAACAUUUUGAAUGAAAAGAAGUGAUAUUUUGAUUUAUCGAUAGUACUUCAUAACUAUUGUUCAGUUAUUGAAGAUAUAUCAGUUCUAUGUUUUAAGCAUGUUGUUUAUAAGAAUUAUAGUACUUGCUGAGCUUGUCAUGCUCACUCUUGCUUGAACCAUAUGAACACAGCUAAGAUCAAAUGGACUGAAGGCUCCGACAAGGAUAAGGGCAAGGCGAAGGUGAAUCCUUAGAGUUCUUAUGUAAUAGUAUAGAGAAAUGUUCGUAAUAUAUUGAAUAUUAUGACAAGAAUGAAUGUAUGGGUUAUAAAGAACCUAGGGAAAUGUAAUAUUAUUUUGAAUAUAUAGAAGACAUAUUUGUUCUUUUGAGACUUUUCAAUUGAAUGUAUGUGUGAAUGGUAGUACCGUGUAGCACCAUCUGUCGGAUUGGAAGAUAUCCGAAUUUGGGGGCGUCACAGGUUG